Molecule: ribosomal RNA, 626 nt
Filed under: Acinetobacter sp.
Lineage: Bacteria; Pseudomonadati; Pseudomonadota; Gammaproteobacteria; Moraxellales; Moraxellaceae
Description: bacterial SSU rRNA
Rfam family: Bacterial small subunit ribosomal RNA
Source: RNAcentral
UGUUGCUUCGGUAACUGACCUAGCGGCGGACGGGUGAGUAAUACUUAGGAAUCUGCCUAUUAAUGGGGGACAACAUCUCGAAAGGGAUGCUAAUACCGCAUACGCCCUACGGGGGAAAGCAGGGGAUCACUUGUGACCUUGCGUUAAUAGAUGAGCCUAAGUCGGAUUAGCUAGUUGGUGGGGUAAAGGCCUACCAAGGCGACGAUCUGUAGCGGGUCUGAGAGGAUGAUCCGCCACACUGGGACUGAGACACGGCCCAGACUCCUACGGGAGGCAGCAGUGGGGAAUAUUGGACAAUGGGGGGAACCCUGAUCCAGCCAUGCCGCGUGUGUGAAGAAGGCCUUAUGGUUGUAAAGCACUUUAAGCGAGGAGGAGGCUCUCUUGGUUAAUACCCAAGAAGAGUGGACGUUACUCGCAGAAUAAGCACCGGCUAACUCUGUGCCAGCAGCCGCGGUAAUACAGAGGGUGCGAGCGUUAAUCGGAUUUACUGGGCGUAAAGCGUGCGUAGGCGGCUUUUUAAGUCGGAUGUGAAAUCCCCGAGCUUAACUUGGGAAUUGCAUUCGAUACUGGGAAGCUAGAGUAUGGGAGAGGAUGGUAGAAUUCCAGGUGUAGCGGUGAAAUGCGUA